GUGGGGAAUAUUGCACAAUGGGCGAAAGCCUGAUGCAGCGAUGCCGCGUGCGGGAAGAAGGCCCUAGGGUUGUAAACCGCUUUCAGUAGGGAAGAAAAUGACGGUACCUACAGAAGAAGGUGCGGCCAACUACGUGCCAGCAGCCGCGGUGACACGUAGGCACCAAGCGUUGUCCGGAUUUAUUGGGCGUAAAGAGCUCGUAGGCGGUUUGGUAAGUCGGGUGUGAAAACUCUGGGCUCAACCCAGAGAGGCCACUCGAUACUGCCAUGACUUGAGUACGGUAGGGGAGUGGGGAAUUUCUAGUGUAGCGGUGAAAUGCGCAGAUAUUAGAAGGAACACCAGUGGCGAAGGCGCCACUCUGGGCCGUAACUGACGCUGAGGAGCGAAAGCAUGGGUAGCAAACAGGAUUAGAUACCCGUGUAGUCC
Molecule: ribosomal RNA, 426 nt
Filed under: uncultured bacterium
Lineage: Bacteria
Description: partial 16S ribosomal RNA
Rfam family: Bacterial small subunit ribosomal RNA
Source: RNAcentral